AGUUCCUACCCCCGGUGGAGGAGCUCUGGCGGCGCAGGAAGCAUUGUUGCUACCUCCAUCAGGGGCCUGUUGCCCCUGGCAAAGGGGAAACAUCUGCUGUCCAUUUCUCAUCAGAAUCCAACUGUUUUGUACCACUUGAACAGCGGCAAAUUAAAGGAUUACACUGCAGGAUUCAGCAUUAGAAAUACAGAUGUUCAGAUCUGGAGAACUACCAAAAUGACAUCCAUAAAGACAAAAGACUCAAAGUUGGGCAACUGACAAGGAAAAAAUGCACUGAAAAGGCAUCAUCAGAAAGACAGGUUGGCAAGGGCAAAAGUGCAGGCAAAACAGGAUUGUGGGAACUGACCUUAAAGAAUAUGACCGUGUUUAUGCUCAAUGUCUCUUCCAAACUGAAUUUGAAGAAACAGAAGAUUUAUUAUUCAGUAUUCCUUUAAAAGACUUCUAUCGACAAUGAAAAUGCAUACAGACUACAGAGAACAUGAUACUGCAUUGCUAGAAUUUGUACAAAGCUGAAAAUACAAUUUAAAAGUUAAGCAAAUAGGUGUGCAGUUUGGCAAUUGUUUACCCUUUUUCUUUUCAAUGAUAUAUUAUACUGUGCUAUAUCACAUGUGGGAAUGAUAAUGCUGUCUAUUUUUAAGGUUGUCUGACACAUCCCGUUAUGACAAGUCUCAGUGGGGCAGCCAUGUUAGCCUGUAUCUGCAAAAACAAUGAGGCACCUUAAAGAUGAAGUGGUUUUUAACUAUGAAAACUUAUGCCCAAAUAAAUCUGUUAGUAUUGAUGGUGCCACAGGACUUCUCAUUGACUUCCCAUAAUAAGACCCUAUUUUAAGCUGACCUCUUCAGGCUGAGUUUUUAUUUUAAAAAUUGGACAAAAAUAUUCAGCCAUUUCUGAGAACAGGCCUGGGAAAAAGUAUAAUAUUUUGCCUGUGUUAAAAAAA
Pelodiscus sinensis (Chinese soft-shelled turtle) is the source of this 937-nucleotide non-coding RNA. NCBI's taxonomy places the organism in Eukaryota, Metazoa, Chordata, Testudines, Trionychidae. The record is from RefSeq and is a predicted model, not a curated record.